UUUCCAGAGAGUGUUACCCUUUGUUUGGCAAGACUCUGCAAACAACUCUGGGUCAUCCUGAUUAAGCUGCGCUUCUGGAGUCUUCCCCCAAAUCGACUGUUUUUGAUCGAAAGGAAAGCCGAUUCUGGGGAACAGUUCAUCGCUUGCGCAACCACCACAUCUUUGGAAAGAUCCCAAUGAUUUUUUCAUGCUAUGCAGCAUUUCUCAAAUGUGGCCACAAGAGGAUUUCUUCAUAGAUAGACAAGGAGAGAUUGAUGGACAGAGACCACUACAAAAGCAGGAGACUGAGAGACAAUGAAAAAAAUGAGAUUCUGAGCUGCCCAGGAGAGAGAUUGUGAGAGGAUGUGGUGAGGAUGAAACGGGAUAAUUGAAGUGAAAGCACUUUGGAAUAAUUAAAGCACUGUACAAAAAAC
Molecule: long non-coding RNA, 413 nt
Organism: Ornithorhynchus anatinus (platypus)
Lineage: Eukaryota; Metazoa; Chordata; Mammalia; Monotremata; Ornithorhynchidae
Exons: 3
Source: RefSeq, a predicted model, not a curated record